CCUUCGAUAGCUCAGUUGGAAGAGCGUGGGACUGUAAUGGUUAAUGUACUAGUCAUCCCGAGGCCGCUGGUUCGAUCCCGGCUCGAAGGA
Athelia sp. TMB is the source of this 90-nucleotide non-coding RNA. The record is from the annotation of a GenBank genome assembly. Lineage: Eukaryota; Fungi; Basidiomycota; Agaricomycetes; Atheliales; Atheliaceae.